GAUGAACGCUGGCGGCGUGCCUAAUACAUGCAAGUCGAGCGAACGGACGAGAAGCUUGCUUCUCUGAUGUUAGCGGCGGACGGGUGAGUAACACGUGGAUAACCUACCUAUAAGACUGGGAUAACUUCGGGAAACCGGAGCUAAUACCGGAUAAUAUUUUGAACCGCAUGGUUCAAAAGUGAAAGACGGUCUUGCUGUCACUUAUAGAUGGAUCCGCGCUGCAUUAGCUAGUUGGUAAGGUAACGGCUUACCAAGGCAACGAUGCAUAGCCGACCUGAGAGGGUGAUCGGCCACACUGGAACUGAGCCACGGUCCAGGCUCCUACGGGAGGCAGCAGGAGGGAAUCUUCGGCAGUGGGCGAAAGCCUGACGGAGCAACGCCGCGUGAGUGAUAAAGGUCUUCGGAUCGUAAAACUCUGUUAUUAGGGAAGAACAUAUGUGUAAGUAACUGUGCACAUCUUGACGGUACCUAAUCAGAAAGCCACGGCUAACUACGUG
Molecule: ribosomal RNA, 497 nt
Filed under: uncultured bacterium
Lineage: Bacteria
Description: partial 16S ribosomal RNA
Rfam family: Bacterial small subunit ribosomal RNA
Source: RNAcentral